AUACGGAGGAUGCAAGCGUUAUCCGGAUUUAUUGGGUUUAAAGGGUGCGUAGGCGGUUUGCUAAGCGGGAGGUGAAAUGCCGGCGCUCAACGUCGGAAGUGCCUCCCGAACUGGUGGACUUGAAUGACUCUGCCGUGGGAGGAAUGUGUAGUGUAGCGGUGAAAUGCUUAGAGAUUACACAGAACACCGAUUGCGAAGGCAGCUCACGAAGGGGUGAUUGACGCUGAGGCACGAAAGCGUGGGGAUCAAACAGGAUGAGAUACCCUGGUAGUCCAGGCCGUGAACGAUGAAUACUAGGUGUAGUGUUUCUAUAGAGAUUCGGUGCCGCAGCAAACGCAAUAAGUAUUCCACCUGGGGAGUACGUUCGCAAGAAUGAAACUCAAAGGAAUUGACGGGG
Molecule: ribosomal RNA, 397 nt
Filed under: uncultured bacterium
Lineage: Bacteria
Description: partial 16S ribosomal RNA
Rfam family: Bacterial small subunit ribosomal RNA
Source: RNAcentral